This 275-nucleotide ribosomal RNA is filed under the name uncultured Bdellovibrio sp. Its description in RNAcentral is "partial 16S ribosomal RNA". It matches the Rfam family "Bacterial small subunit ribosomal RNA", at positions 338 to 628 of the family's 1533-position model. The record is from RNAcentral. Lineage: Bacteria; Pseudomonadati; Bdellovibrionota; Bdellovibrionia; Bdellovibrionales; Pseudobdellovibrionaceae.
CCUACGGGUGGCUGCAGUAGGGAAUAUUGGACAAUGGGGGCAACCCUGAUCCAGCGACGCCGCGUGAGCGAUGAAGGCCUUCGGGUCGUAAAGCUCUGUUGUAAGGGAAAAAGUUCUGAUUGUACCUUACGAGAAAGGAUCGGCUAACUUCGUGCCAGCAGCCGCGGUAAGACGAGGGAUCCUAGCGUUGUUCGGAAUUAUUGGGCGUAAAGCGGGUGCAGGUGGCCUUGUAAGUCGAGUGUGAAAGCCUGGGGCUUAACCCCAGAAGUGCAUUC